UUUUUUUUUUUUUAAUGCAUCUACUGACCUUCUGAUCUUCUUCAUGUGCAGUGAAGAGAUUUUCUUCACUUCUGACCAUCGGAGGCGCCAGCACUCCGGGCACCACCCCGCAGCCCUCCGCAGCCAUCCCGGCCAGCUCGGCUCCGGUUCCACCGCUCCAGCCAGCUCCUGCCCAGUCCUCUAAGCCCGUAGAGGCUGAAAAAAAGAAGAAGAAGAAAACGACCGCCAAGAGAGCCAGGGUGGAGACGACCUCGUCCCCAGCUCAGGAAGAGAGGCCGACGCCUGAGCCCGGUCAGGACGUCCACUACGGUGUGAACACCGCCGAGGAGCAAGCCCGGGCCGGAGCUCCUCCUAACCUGUGGCAACACCGGAGCUCUACCCUGCUGUUCGACCCGCAGACGCGGUUGGUCACGCACCAACAUCCAAUGCACUUCUGUCCCC
Molecule: long non-coding RNA, 441 nt
Filed under: Coffea arabica (coffee)
Lineage: Eukaryota; Viridiplantae; Streptophyta; Magnoliopsida; Gentianales; Rubiaceae
Description: long non-coding RNA (CARA_LNC004561)
Source: RNAcentral